Molecule: transfer RNA, 73 nt
Filed under: Marmota monax (woodchuck)
Lineage: Eukaryota; Metazoa; Chordata; Mammalia; Rodentia; Sciuridae
Description: tRNA.Ala
Source: RNAcentral
GGGAUUGUGGGGCUCAGUGGUUGAGCACUCACCUAGCACGUGCAAGGCCCUGGGUUCGAUCCUCAGCAUCACA